GAAGUCAGCCGGGCAGUCGCUGCAUGUUCAUGCAUGCAGAGGAAAGUCCGGGCACCGAAGGGCAGGAUGCCGGCUAACGGCCGGGCGUCGCAAGGCGACGGAAAGUGCAACAGAAAGAUACCGCCUCGAAUCCGCGGCCGGGCGCAUCCUCGAUGCGCGACAGGUCCGCCUCACGAAGGGAAGUGCUUCGACGGAUUCCGGGCAAGGGUGAAAUAGUGCCGGGCAUCGAAGGAUGUCCGGGCGGCGCAACGAGGCGCGCCGUCGGUAAGAGCGCACUCCUCCGGCGGUAACGACCGGAGGCGGCAAACCCCAUCCGGUGCAAGACCAAAUAGGGGGGCGAUGACGUGGCCCGCGUCGCUCCCGGGUAGGUUGCUAGAGGCCGCGAGCAAUCGCGGUCCCAGAGGAAUGACUGCUCAGGGGCGCAAGCCCUGGACAGAACCCGGCUUACAGGCUGACUUCGCUU
This 463-nucleotide RNase P RNA is filed under the name Betaproteobacteria bacterium. Its description in RNAcentral is "RNase P RNA component class A". It matches the Rfam family "Bacterial RNase P class A". From Rfam's summary of the family: Ribonuclease P (RNase P) is a ubiquitous endoribonuclease, found in archaea, bacteria and eukarya as well as chloroplasts and mitochondria. The record is from RNAcentral. Lineage: Bacteria; Pseudomonadati; Pseudomonadota; Betaproteobacteria.